This 305-nucleotide ribosomal RNA is filed under the name uncultured bacterium. RNAcentral describes it as "bacterial SSU rRNA". It matches the Rfam family "Bacterial small subunit ribosomal RNA", at positions 338 to 659 of the family's 1533-position model. The record is from RNAcentral.
CCUACGGGAGGCAGCAGUCGGGAAUAUUGCGCAAUGGAGGAAACUCUGACGCAGUGACGCCGCGUGCAGGAAGAAGGUUUUCGGAUUGUAAACGGCUUUAGACAGGGAAGAUACAAGACAGUACCUGUAAAAUAAGCUCCGGCUAACUACGUGCCAGCAGCCGCGGUAAUACGUAGGGAGCAAGCGUUAUCCGGAUUUAUUGGGUGUAAAGGGUGCGUAGACGGGAAGGCAAGUUGGGUGCGAAAUCCCUCGGCUUAACUGAGGAACUGCAACCAAAACUAUCUUUCUUGAGUGCUGGAGAGGAA